ACCCGCUGAACUUAAGCAUAUCAAUAAGCGGAGGAAAAGAAACCAACAGGGAUUGCCCUAGUAACGGCGAGUGAAGCGGCAACAGCUCAAAUUUGAAAUCUGGCUCUUUUAGAGUCCGAGUUGUAAUUUGCAGAGGGCGCUUUGGCUUUGGCAGCGGUCCAAGUUCCUUGGAACAGGACGUCACAGAGGGUGAGAAUCCCGUACGUGGUCGCUGGCUAUUGCCGUGUAAAGCCCCUUCGACGAGUCGAGUUGUUUGGGAAUGCAGCUCUAAAUGGGAGGUACAUUUCUUCUAAAGCUAAAUAUUGGCCAGAGACCGAUAGCGCACAAGUAGAGUGAUCGAAAGAUGAAAAGCACUUUGAAAAGAGAGUUAAAAAGUACGUGAAAUUGUUGAAAGGGAAGCGUUUAUGACCAGACUUGGACUUGGUUAAUCAUCUGGGGUUCUCUCCAGUGCACUUUUCCAGUUCAGGCCAGCAUCAGUUUUCGCCGGGGGAUAAAGGCAGCGGGAAUGUGGCUCUCUUCGGGGAGUGUUAUAGCCCGCUGUGUAAUACCCUGGUGGGGACUGAGGUUCGCGCUUCUGCAAGGAUGCUGGCGUAAUGGUCAU
This 601-nucleotide ribosomal RNA is filed under the name uncultured fungus. Its description in RNAcentral is "eukaryotic LSU rRNA". It matches the Rfam family "Eukaryotic large subunit ribosomal RNA", at positions 23 to 641 of the family's 3401-position model. The record is from RNAcentral. Lineage: Eukaryota; Fungi.